Long non-coding RNA from Leopardus geoffroyi (Geoffroy's cat), 450 nucleotides. RefSeq lists it as uncharacterized. The record is from RefSeq and is a predicted model, not a curated record. The transcript is spliced from 2 exons. Lineage: Eukaryota; Metazoa; Chordata; Mammalia; Carnivora; Felidae.
GCCGCGUGACUUUCCUGUCUUCACUCUUCCGACAAAGCAGACCAGCUAAAAGCUCGGGUGUCCGUUCACCCUGGGAUUGCACCAGGCUGCACUGCCCGCGAUCGAAUCUCUGGGACCCCACGGACUCGGUGAGGGCGAGUCUGUCGUCAUCGCUCCGUUUUCUGGAUGAGGAACACUGAGGCACAGCGAUGCUAACUAGGAGGACUGGAAUGUGGUGCAUGGCCGCUGAGACCCGUCACCUGCUCCUGCUUCCUGGUUGUCUGGGAAGGGAAGGAUGAGGGCAGGUCGUGGCGGCCCUGUGAUAACAUUGGCUCCGUCAGGACCGGGAUGUGAUCUGUUUUGUCCCCUGCUGGGUCCCCAGAGUUUACAACGAUGCCCGGCACAGAGUAGGGGCUCAAAAAAAGCGGUUGUUGGAUGACUAUAAAUAGCAAGAAUCUCAUUCUAUCAUCA